This is a long non-coding RNA of Chiroxiphia lanceolata (lance-tailed manakin), 3287 nucleotides long. RefSeq lists it as uncharacterized. NCBI's taxonomy places the organism in Eukaryota, Metazoa, Chordata, Aves, Passeriformes, Pipridae. The record is from RefSeq and is a predicted model, not a curated record. The transcript has 3 exons.
AUUGGGAAGGAAUUGCUGGCUGGGAGGGUGGAGAGGCCCUGGCCCAGGUUUCCCAGAGAAGCUGUGGCUGCCCCUGGAUGUGUCCAAGGAGCAGGAUUAGGAUCAGGGUUACAGCAGAAAGGGGAUCUGUGCUACAGCUCUGGAGAUCUCAGUUCUCUCAUCGGUGGGGAGAAGUUUGCAUGGUGUGGAGGUCUGGAAGAUUCCCAGGAUUGGGGCCAAGCCCCUUGUUUUGGGGUGUGAUUAUCCAACGAAAUAGGAUGGGAAUGUGCAGCAACACAAGCCAUGGGUGAUGUAUCUUAGGAACACUUUACCUGGGCACAAUGGCUUUUCCUGUGGGUCCUUCUGCAGCCACCAGUCCAGUCUGGAUUUUGGGCUCACCCUGCUUCUUCCCUGCCUCCCAUAACCAUGGAUUGUUUCUGUUCUGCCAGUUCCCCGAGUAUUUGGGAAUAAAAGAGGGCAGUGCUGGAUCAGGCUAUUCCCUCAUCUCCAACAGCAAUGGAGCAGUAACAGCUCUUGAGAGACAAAGAGCCCACUUAGGCUGUGCUGGGUGGCUUCUCCAACAUUCCCUGCAGUGGAUUUUAUGGCAACAACAACUACUGGGGAGACAAAACCGAGGCUGUGAAGAGGGAGGAGUGGGGUGGGAACCAGGCUGAGCUCACCACUGUGCAGGACUGAUAAGCCAGAGCUGACCACAGAACUCCAGCUCAGCUCCACUCCCCCAUGUCAGAGACACCCCCAUGGUGAAGUCACUAGAUAUUUUUGUCCCCUGAGGUGCCCCAAGGCCCAGCCUGGGUGUUUUCCUUUCAGACAGAUGAACAUCCCCUGCAAUUUUCCCCUCGUCAUCCAAGACACUGGAGACACAGAGCUCUUCCAGUUUUCUCACCCCCCUUUGCAUGGCCUUCAGCCCAAAUUCCUUAGGACUAAGCCAUGGCCACGCUGGUUUCCCAUGUGAAGGACUUACAUUUCUGUAGCCACACCACGUUUUAAUUUGCUUUCUCAGCAAAAUCUUUAUAUUAAUCACAGGGAGUGGGGUUGGGCUCACCGGGUGUCCCUGCACCUAAACAGGACACCCAGGGCUGCUUUAAGCCCCUGCCUGUGUUCAGUCAGAGGGAUCCCAUCCUGGGCUGCUCCUGAUCCAGACAACUAGUCCAGGCAUCGAUGCAGACGUUUGGAUUUAGGAAAGACCAAUCCCGUGAGUCUCAGUUUUAUGACCCUCACGUGGAGAAGGAAAACUGCAAGUCAGAGGUGUUAAUUGUCACCUUGUGCUGAUGAAACAGGGGCAGGGAGGGAAGCAACAGGAAUAACAGGUUUAAAAUAUGUAAGAUGGGAAUUAAAGGGUGAAAGGGGUGGGAUGUGUGUUACCCCAAAGAGCCGAAAGGAGGGAAUUUGAAGGGACAGGACAUAACAAUCCUCACUUCGUGAAAGAUCAGGGUAAAGACAGCGACGAGCUGUGGGUUUGGGUGAGCUCAGGACUAGCAGAGCUCUGCCAUGUGCAGGCAUGGGAGUAGUCCUGGAGCUCCCUGGGAAUGCCAGGGGACACUGGGAGGUCACCACUCUGAAAUCCCACAACCCAUUAAAUCCUCUUUGAUCUCUCCUGAGGGAGUUUUGCAGCGCCAGGUUGGGAAGAACUUUUAAGACCUGCCAAAACAAACCUUCCAGGAGCCCCCAGAUGUGGUUCUAGGUGAGAAAAGCAAGAUUGUAGGAGCACUUGGCCAAUCCUUGCAAUUCCAGCUGUGAAAAAUAUUCCAACAUCCAGCAGUAAAUGCAGUGCCACUUUCAGCCAGAAGUGCUGACACUAAGCCAGGCUUUUGCACAAAGAGGAUUUCACACUUAGCUGACUUCAGCUUAGUCGUGAAUAUAUCAGCCCUUAACGGUGAAUUAAAAAAUUCCCUUUGAUUGUUUCUCCUCAAGUCAUGUAGCAAUAACCUACAGGGAACACUUCAGGCUCAAAGGCUUUUAUUUUAAAAUAAUUAAAUAUUUUUUUAGGCAAAAUUACGUGCAGCCUAAAGCAAAAAAAAAAAAAAAAAAAUCAAGGCAAAAAGGAAUUUUCUUCCCAGGAUUUUCUUGAGGUCUGAGGCUGUCGGGGUGGGAAGGCCCUGUAAGAUUCCUCCAAGGAGACUCCUGAAUUCUCUGAACAUCUCCAGGAAAUGACUGGAUAAUUAUAUAGUAAAUGUCAUAUUUACUAGUAUGUAGUAAUGUAAUAUAUAUAUUAAAUAUACAGUGGAGAACACACAAGGAUGUAACAAAACCUUCCCAGUGUCUGGAAUGGAAGUCAUUGAUACUCACACAGCAACUGCUCCUGUAAGUCCCAAUAUUUCACUCCUUUUGGUCCUUUGUGUGGCAAUUACAAGAGCAAAACACAGGAAAAAAACCCCCAACUUGUGCCUUUUUAAAAAAUGUACAGAAAUCUUGGAAGAGAGAGGUUUAUAAAACACAGUAAAAUAGUUUGGGGUUUAUUUUGUUGUUCCUGGAGGACACCUGAGAUGGCAGCAGGGAACCAGGACGGUGAAAAAAGCAAAUGAGAAAGGAGUUAACCCACUGAAAACUUCAUUUUAUUAACUCUGCUGACAAUUCAGUGCCAACAUUUAAUAUGCCUUUCGGAGGGAAGCUUUCCUUUAAAAAUUCUCUUUGUUUAGGAGAUACCUUUUAUGAGGAAAAGAGUCCCUGGAGCUGGGAAGGAACAGCCAGGGCAGCUCCUCAAAUGAGAGCUGGGACGAAAGGAUCCCUGUCCCUUCCCAGGCCUUUCUUCUGUGUCAUAAAGAUCCACUGUGCUUGUUGUUUUUUCAGGUGAAAAAAACAAUAAUAGGGGAAAAUAACAAUAAUAGGUGAAAAUAACAAUGAUAGUUGAAAAUAGUAAUGAGGAGAUACCAGGCAAUAGAGAAAGACUGGCUGGAGGAACGGGGAAAGAUGGGAAGCUGCUCACAUCCAGCUUGAUUUUAAGCAUGGUGAAUAUUAUCCUUUAUUAAACCUUAAAUAUACAGAUAUUAUCUCCAGCACCCACAUCCCAUAAUAGUCCUGUGGCUCUCCCCACCCACAAACACGCAGAGCAACAUCCCCUGUGUUUUACCAGCGGGGUUUGGGUGCAACUUCCUGCAGGAAACGUGGGCCAACAGCGACGGCACAGCACGGGGAGCCCCAAAAAUGCCGAGCUGUGCCUCCCUGGCGGGGCUGACAGCGGAACUGCCCGGAAUUCCCCACGGAACCUCUCCAGGCUGCAGGGCCCCCUCACCAAAUCCUUGGAGGAUUUGAGCGUAGGAUCAGAGAAUCACAGGAUCAGCUGGGUUGGA